RNAcentral lists this ribosomal RNA (716 nucleotides) under uncultured eukaryote. RNAcentral's name for it is "bacterial SSU rRNA". It matches the Rfam family "Eukaryotic small subunit ribosomal RNA", at positions 678 to 1426 of the family's 1831-position model. The record is from RNAcentral.
CGUGUGCAGCGGUGCCCUUCCUUCCUUCUGUUAACGUUUCUGAUAUUCAUUUAUUGGUCUCGGGCUCUCAUAUUUUACCUUGAGAAAAUUUUAGUGUGCCCCGCGGGCGUGCGCCCCAAUACAUUAUCAUGGAAUAAUAUAAAAUGACUUUUUUCUCCUUUGUUGGUUUGAGGGAGAGAAGUAAUGAUUUAUAGGGAUAGUUGGGGGCAUUAGUAUAUAAUAGUCAGAGGUGAAAUUUUCGGAUUUGUUUUAGACUAACUUAUGUGAAAGCAUUUGCCAAGGAUGUUUUCAUUAAUCAAGAACGAAAGUUAGGGGAUCAAAGACGAUCAGAUACCGUCUUAGUCUUAACCAUAAAAUAUGCCGACUAGGGAUAGGAGGGGCGCCUUAUCCGCCCUUGGCACCCUAUGAGAAAUCAAAGUCUUUGGGUUUUGGGGGGAGUAUGGUGGCAAGGGUGAAAAUUAAAGGAAAAGACGGAAGGGCACCCCCCGGAGUGGAGCGUGCGGGUCAAUUUGAGUCUACACGGGAAAACUUACCAGGUCCCGACAUAGUGAGGAGUGACAGAUUGAUAGCUCUUUCUUGAUUCUAUGGGUGGUGGGCAUGGCCGUUUUUAGUUGGUGGAGUGAUUUGUUGGGUUAAUUCCGUUAACGAACGAGACCUCAGCAUCCUAAUUAGUAGACUAGUCGCGAGGGGGCACGACUUACUAGAGGGAGGGAGUG